This is a long non-coding RNA of Apodemus sylvaticus (European woodmouse), 601 nucleotides long. RefSeq lists it as uncharacterized. Lineage: Eukaryota; Metazoa; Chordata; Mammalia; Rodentia; Muridae. The record is from RefSeq and is a predicted model, not a curated record. The transcript is spliced from 3 exons.
CAAACAUGAACCUUUGGAGAAGAUUCUUCAAAAGGGAGGAAAUAAAGAAGGCUGUCCCCUGUCAGCUAAGCUUCCAGCAGUGACAGCAGCGCCCUCUCCAAGUCCGAUGGCACUGAGAUGUGACAGGUCUUGUGACGAUUGCUCUGUGUCCUUGCCAAUGAAUGAACUGUCUUCUCCAGGACACCACCAGUAGAGAGAACUUCAGAACCAACACCUGAGGCGUCUGACUUCUACACGCAAGCAACAUGUGACUCUCGUACAAAGGAACAACUACCAUCUAAACUAGUGUUCUUCAGAGUUCAGGGGUGGAAACAAACCCCAAAGAACAACUUCCAAGGCACUGCGGGCGAUGGAGGGCGGGUCAUCACUCCCACACUCCCAGCUUUUUGUCUAUGUCUCUGGAGUUCAGGAAGACUCCAGUACAUCUGGAUUUUGGGCUUAAAAAACUUCCCUUGGCUUCAGCCCUGCCUGAUGUUGAAGGGUUAGCCAUGUGCUGGUUCCCAGGUUCCCUAGCACUACGACCCAGUUAGUACAGUUCCUCAUGGUGUGGUGACCCCAACAAUAACAUUAUUUUUGAAGCUACUUUAUAACUGUAAUUUGU